UUCCAACUCGAGGUUCUAACUGCCCCUGUGACAUCUGACAAACAUCUCCAGCUUCAUGUGUUCAAAAGGGCAAGGGUUGAUUGGACCAUGGUACUGUUCUCCCUCACCUGCCCAAGAAGGCUAUCCCCACUCACCCCCGCUCAUCUUGCCUUGUAAAGGGCAUCACCACCUAUAUCUGCUCCAGGCAGAAACCACACGCUCCCCAGUCCUGCAUCAAUCCUGCCUCCUCCAUCUCCAUGAUGCCUCUUAACUCCCUCCACCUCUCCAUCUCCAUGGCCACCACCUGCUCUCACCUGGCGUCCUCCUCCUUGGUCUUCUCCUUCUACUUUUAUUCUUGUCAACUCCAUUAGACACAGCCAGAGGCCACCUCCUAAAAUAGGAGCUGACUUAUGUCCCUUUUCUCAUUAAAACUCUUCAGUGGCUUCACAUGGCACUGAGAAGAAAACUCAGGCUCCUUCCCAGCCCUGUGCACAUGUCCCCUGCAUGUCUCCCCACUUCCUCUCCUACCCUGCCCUCCUUAGGCCCUGGCCUCCCUCAUCUUCUCCUGGUUCCCGGAGCACACUGAGCUCUUUUCCUUCACAAGGCCUUGGAGCAUGCUGCUCCAUCUGCCUGGAAACCUCUCCCUCAAGACUCAGUACAUGAGUCACCUCCCCAUAGACGCUUCCCCUGACCCUCUGUGUUGGUCUGCUCUGGCUCUCAUAAGAAAAUACCAGAGACUGAGUGGCUUAAACAAAAGACAUUUAUUUUCUCACAGUCCUGGAGGCUGGAAGUCCAAGACCAAGGUGUUCGCAGGGUUGGUUUCUUCUAAGGCCUCUCUCCUUGGCUUGGAGAUGGCCCUGGUUGGUCUUCUGAGUGCAGGUGUCCCUGGUGUCUCUUUGUGUGUCCAGAUUUUCUCUUAUAAGGACACUGGUGAGAUUGGAUGAGGGGCCCCCUGACGGCCUCAUCUUAAUGUAAUCACCUCUCUUAUCUCCAUAUCCAUUCACAUACGGGCCAUUGCGAGCUACCGGGGAUUAGGGGUUCAACACAUAAAUUGGGGGUGGGGGGGUGCAGCUCAGCCCAUAAACAUGCCCCCUCUGGCUCGCUCUCCCAGGGCAUCCAUCGUAGCACUUAGAAAAAUGAUCACUUCUUCUUUUUUGGCUUUGUGGUGGCGUGUGUGUGUGUGUAUUUGUAUAUACACACAUAUAUAUAUAAAUACACAGACACACAUAUAUACAAACACACGCAUUCAUUUUCGUCCACAGUUCCUGGCUCAUAACUCCCACAGCCCUUGUUACACUCUUUUGUUACAACAUUGGGUGUGUCAGGCCUCAGGAGACAAUCACUCUAACCUCCUGCCCUUCCUUUUACCUGCCCAAG
This 1356-nucleotide long non-coding RNA is filed under the name Homo sapiens (human). RNAcentral describes it as "HSALNT0098720". The record is from RNAcentral. Lineage: Eukaryota; Metazoa; Chordata; Mammalia; Primates; Hominidae.